Molecule: long non-coding RNA, 262 nt
Filed under: Elaeis guineensis (African oil palm)
Lineage: Eukaryota; Viridiplantae; Streptophyta; Magnoliopsida; Arecales; Arecaceae
Description: long non-coding RNA (EGUI_LNC006985)
Source: RNAcentral
UCCAUCCAAGAUUGCAAUGCCGAUGACGAUGUCGAUACCAUAGGAGAAAAGAAGAAAGAUGCACAAAAGACACAAUCAAAUAAUGUGGAUUAGCUCAAAACUUAUAUUUACGAGAUAUGCAAGCUUCACUAUGAGAGAAAAAUAAAUAUAAGAGGAGAUCACACCUUCUCAAUUUACAUACAUCAAUCACUCUCUCAACAAAAAGUACAAACCCUCACGAAGCUCCCAAAAUACUCUCAAGAAGACCCUCUACCGCUUCUUG